UACGUAGGGGGCUAGCGUUGUCCGGAAUCAUUGGGCGUAAAGCGCGUGUAGGCGGCUUGGUAAGUCUGCUGUGAAAGUCGGGGGCUCAACCCUCGAAUGCCGGUGGAUACUGUCAGGCUAGAGUGCGGAAGAGGCGAGUGGAAUUCCUGGUGUAGCGGUGAAAUGCGCAGAUAUCAGGAGGAACACCAAUUGCGAAGGCAGCUCGCUGGGACGUUACUGACGCUGAGACGCGAAAGCGUGGGGAGCAAACAGG
Molecule: ribosomal RNA, 253 nt
Filed under: uncultured bacterium
Lineage: Bacteria
Description: partial 16S ribosomal RNA
Rfam family: Bacterial small subunit ribosomal RNA
Source: RNAcentral